UAUCUGAUAAUGAUAAAUAAUUUCAGAUUGCUAUCAUUAUUAUUUGAUAACACUGAAUUAAAAAUUUAAAUACUGAAUAUUUUUUCCCUAGUGUUUUGUCUUCCAUUUAUAUAAAGGUGUAAGAGCAGGUGGUGGUAUAGGUGAUGAAAUUGAGCCACCUGAUGGAGAUGACUAUGAAUUAUACAGAAUUAUUUUUGACAUCACAUUUUUCUUCUUUAUCAUUGUCAUCUUGUUAGCCAUCAUUCAAGGUUUAAUUAUUGAUGCAUUUGGCGAAUUGAGAGAUCAGUUACAGAGUGUAGUGGAAGAUAUGGAGGUAAAAUAUAUUUGAAUAAUACAUGAUUCUAUA
Molecule: long non-coding RNA, 346 nt
Organism: Centruroides sculpturatus (bark scorpion)
Lineage: Eukaryota; Metazoa; Arthropoda; Arachnida; Scorpiones; Buthidae
Exons: 3
Source: RefSeq, a predicted model, not a curated record